Paramuricea clavata is the source of this 395-nucleotide non-coding RNA. The record is from the annotation of a GenBank genome assembly. NCBI's taxonomy places the organism in Eukaryota, Metazoa, Cnidaria, Anthozoa, Malacalcyonacea, Plexauridae.
CACUCGUUCUCGUGAGUCUGCGCAUUUAUACUAAAAAUACGCCUCUGAAGGCAAAGUGUGUCCUUGUAAAAAUUCCGUAUUUUAAUGCCUGCUCUGGAUUAAAUAAAACAUACAAUCCACGAAAGAAACUACGUUUUCCACACAACGGUUCGACAUCUUAGUCUAGUAUCUUCAUCAUGGACACAGAGUAGAGACAUACAGAGACGUAACUAGUGUACCCACUUUUUUGUGCGCGCGCUCGGCAAGUUACUAGAUGCAUGCAUCUGAUUGGAUGACGACCUGAUGACGACUCACUUUAAACUUGCUGAGCAUGCGCAGUUGAUCAUUUUUCGCCCGGUCGCCAGAAAAAAAGUGGGUACAUGAUAACGUAAUCUUUCACAGUGUUUACAACGGUC